RNAcentral lists this ribosomal RNA (409 nucleotides) under uncultured bacterium. RNAcentral's name for it is "bacterial SSU rRNA". It matches the Rfam family "Bacterial small subunit ribosomal RNA", at positions 355 to 781 of the family's 1533-position model. The record is from RNAcentral.
UGGGGAAUCUUGGACAAUGGGGGCAACCCUGAUCCAGCCAUGCCGCGUGAGUGAUGAAGGCCUUAGGGUCGUAAGCUCUUUCGCCUGUGAAGAUAAUGACGGUAGCAGGUAAAGAAACCCCGGCUAACUCCGUGCCAGCAGCCGCGGUAAUACGGAGGGGGUUAGCGUUGUUCGGAAUUACUGGGCGUAAAGCGCACGUAGGCGGACCAGAAAGUUGGGGGUGAAAUCCCGGGGGCUCAACCCCGGAACUGCCUCCAAAACUAUUGGUCUAGAGUUCGAGAGAGGUGAGUGGAAUUCCAAGUGUAGAGGUGAAAUUCGUAGAUAUUUGGAGGAACACCAGUGGCGAAGGCGGCUCACUGGCUCGAUACUGACGCUGAGGUGCGAAAGUGUGGGGAGCAAACAGGAUUAG